RNAcentral lists this ribosomal RNA (440 nucleotides) under uncultured bacterium. Its description in RNAcentral is "partial 16S ribosomal RNA". It matches the Rfam family "Bacterial small subunit ribosomal RNA", at positions 338 to 795 of the family's 1533-position model. The record is from RNAcentral.
CCUACGGGAGGCAGCAGUGGGGGAUAUUGCACAAUGGGGGGAACCCUGAUGCAGCGACGCCGCGUGGGUGAAGGAGCGUUUCGGCGCGUAAAGCUCUAUCAGCAGGGAAGAAAAUGACGGUACCUGACUAAGUAGCCCCGGCCAACUACGUGCCACCAGCCGCGGUAAUACGUAGGGGGAAAGCGUUAUCCGGAUGUACUGGGUGUAAAGGGAGCGUAGACGGUUGUGCAAGCCAGAUGUGAAAGCCCGGGGCUCAACCCCGGGACUGCAUUUGGAACUGUGUAGCUGGAGUGUCGUAGAGGCAGGCGGAAUUCCUAGUGUAGCGGUGAAAUGCGUAGAUAUUAGGAGGAACACCAGUGGCGAAGGCGGCCUGCUGGACGAUGACUGACGUUGAGGCUCGAAAGCGUGGGGAGCAAACAGGAUUAGAUACCCGUGUAGUC